AGUGAACGCUGGCGGUAGGCCUAACACAUGCAAGUCGAACGGCAGCACAGUAAGAGCUUGCUCUUACGGGUGGCGAGUGGCGGAUGGGUGAGGAAUACAUCGGAAUCUACUUUUUCGUGGGGGAUAACGUAGGGAAACUUACGCUAAUACCGCAUACGACCUACGGGUGAAAGCAGGGGGUCUUCGGACCUUGCGCGAUUGAAUGAGCCGAUGUCGGAUUAGCUAGUUGGCGGGGUAAAGGCCCACCAAGGCGACGAUCCGUAGCUGGUCUGAGAGGAUGAUCAGCCACACUGGAACUGAGACACGGUCCAGACUCCUACGGGAGGCAGCAGUGGGGAAUAUUGGACAAUGGGCGCAAGCCUGAUCCAGCCAUACCGCGUGGGUGAAGAAGGCCUUCGGGUUGUAAAGCCCUUUUGUUGGGAAAGAAAAGCAGCAGGUUAAUACCCCGCUGUUCUGACGGUACCCAAAGAAUAAGCACCGGCUAACUUCGUG
This 492-nucleotide ribosomal RNA is filed under the name uncultured bacterium. RNAcentral's name for it is "partial 16S ribosomal RNA". It matches the Rfam family "Bacterial small subunit ribosomal RNA", at positions 29 to 507 of the family's 1533-position model. The record is from RNAcentral.